This is a non-coding RNA of Podarcis lilfordi (Lilford's wall lizard), 6272 nucleotides long. The record is from the annotation of a GenBank genome assembly. NCBI's taxonomy places the organism in Eukaryota, Metazoa, Chordata, Lepidosauria, Squamata, Lacertidae.
GUCUGUUGGAAGUUGGACAUCCAUGACCUAGAUGAAUCAAAAGUCUGACUGUGUAAGAAGUACCCAUUUGCUACUGUAAAAGGUGUACCCACUGAAUACCUAUUUAAGCUGUAAUUAUCACUAACUGUAUUAUCUGUAUCUCAUUGCCAUUCAACUCCUACUUUAAAAUUUUCUCCUUUAUAUACCCUUUUUUAAAAAGCCAGAUCAUUAUGUCAUGCAUCUUCUUAUCUUCACACAUUUUAAAGCAAUUUGUUGUGAAAAACCUUAUCUUAAUUUGAGGUGGGUGGGGGAAAACCAGUAUACAAAAGAAGAACGGUACUGAGAUUGAACUCUGCUAAAAUGCUUUCUAAAUACUCCUCAAAAGAGGAGGGGAGUAGAUAACCUAAGCAGUGGUUUUGGAAACAGCAAGGUUUUUCUUUCUUCCUACCUGUUCUCUCUCUCGCCUUCUCACUCUUGCACUCUUCACAAUAUAUACAUAUACACAUUUGUCCACAGAUUACUAUUUCCACCCAGGUCUUCUGGAAGUGUGAUACUGAAGAGUAAGGACAGCAGGGAUAGGGCUUUAAGCCCUUUUCAGCAUCCUUUCCAGCUGUGCAAUAUCCUUUCAAUGAUGCAGUGACUAGAACUGUACACAGUAUUCCCCCUUUUCAGAGCUGCCUCAUACUGGUCAACAUCUUCAUCAAGUUAUCCACUAUGACACCAAGGUCUUAUUCCUGGUCACUCACUACCACUUCAGACCCCAGUAGCAUAUACUGUAUAUGAAGUAAGGAUCUUCUACCCCAGUGUGUAUCACUUUAUACUGAACCAGAAUUUGUUUGCUUAAUGCUCAUUCACCUAGUUUGGAGAGAUCCUUUUGGAGCUCCUCACAAUCCAUCCACCCUGAGCAACCUGGCAUCAUCACUUGGUCACUUCCCUGCUCACCCUUAAGUCCUGGUCAUUUAUGAAAAAGUUUAAACACAGGACUAAGGUGUUGCUGUAAUUCAGAGUCGACAGCAAAAGGCAGUUUCAUAUCGAAUUCUGCCAAAUCCUUCUCAUUUGGAACAGAUCACUAGCUCAAGAAUAUGGAAAACACAUUGAAAUGGAGAUAUAGAGUUUCUAGUAUACUUGCUGGGGGUGGGGAUGGAGGAUGAAGAUUGCAUAGUUUCAGAAACACUCUGACAAAAAGCAAACCUUUGCAAGCAUGUCAGGAACAGCCAGUCAAGAGACCCUGUUUUAAAGGGAGCAAACCUUCCCCUCACCUCCAGGUCAGCAAAAAGUUUAUUGGGAAUGAAAAGUGAAGCAACAAAACAAACAAAUCACUGCUUUGCUGUUGAGGCUAUUUCACUUUAGAGAGACAGGAUUAUGACCAGAGACUCCUUAAGUUAUCAGCCAGUACAAGAGUCAGUGUCAGAAACCCUAGCUGCUACAAGGUUAGAGGCUUAAGGGGCAAAAAUUAGAUACUGAUGUGCCACCCCAGCCCCUUUAAACUGCUUGGCUGCUUUCAAGUGUCCCUUCCUCAUUCAACUUCCUUCCAGAUUAUGGUGAUGACUAAUCAAAACUUCCAAAUUAUUUUAACUAUCUCCCCCCAAAGUCAGAAUCUUUUAUAUUUAUAUUUAUUUUAUUUUUUAAAGAUAACAGUGUUGUCUGUCUGCAGUGAGUUUAGAGAGAAAAUGUUCCAGGCUUGGAAGCCAAGGAAAGAGAAUGUCUCUGGAAGCUAAGUGAAUCUUUGCUGGCAUAGAACUGAAGCCUGAUGCUGAAUCUCAAAACUGGAAAAAUGCUUUGUGCAUUGCAUUUUGGGGAUGCAUCAAAAAGUUAUUCAGGAUCAGAGCUCAAUGACCUAGUCAAAAGAUUAUGGGUGACUCCAGAUGGCAGCUUCCCACACUUCUGGUUGCAUAAUGUAAUGUUAUACUCAAAGGAAAGGAAGCAAACAUCACAUGCAAAAGGUCUGGUGUGGUUGACCGGAUUUUGAUCCUAUCAACACCUGUCAUUUUGACUCUAUCACUUAUGGUGACCCCACUAAUUCUUUAGUCUAUCAUUUCAGAUACACAAAACAUAUAAGGCUCUUGUUAUUCUAAAGUUUUGUGGGUUUAUUUUAUUUUUUACAGCGGACAGCAUCCUAUAUGUACUCCUGCAAGGAAUGUGUUUGUAAAACCCACUUGAAAUCAAGAGAGCUGACCACCAGUAAGCCACACACUCCAUGUGAUUAUCGCCGCUCUAAUCACUAGUUCCCAUAAACUUGUAGAACCUAGCAUAGCGGAAAGAGCUACUGUUGUACCGAAACACUAAUGAUAUUUUCUCAAGGUGAAGUGCAUCCUUAAUCAUGUUCUUGCUAAUGCACUUUCUGUUUCCUCACCUGCGUUGCCAAAAGGGUUUCAGGUGUGCUGAAUCAAAGUGCUUGGAAUAAAAAAGACAAAGCCCAAAUUCAUGAAUAUUCCAAAUUUGGAAGUGCAAUGAAUGAGGAUCCGGAAUGAUAACUUCCUGUGGUCAUGUAUGUGUGUUUUCUCACAGAAGUGGGAGCACAAGAAACAGUUCCAGAAACUUAACAAUGAGGCAUGGGAGAACCUUAAUCAAACAUCACUUCUCCUGACUUCAUUCAGCAUGUAGCUGCUGGUGACUGGUCUCACUUCUGUCUGUAAUACAGACCGGCAAAGGAUCUAGAAGGACAUGAAAACAUUGGCCCAAUACAAAUAGUGAAAGCUAAAUAAUUCUUUUCUUUUUUAAAAAAAGAUCUGCUCAGAAAUGACCUAAUAUGGUUUCAGAAAACUCUUGCUGAUUAUUGCAAUUUCUUCAGGAAUUUUCACCCUUUAGAUUUAAAACUGACUUUGUACUAAGCUGGUUGCUAACAUUAAUGCAAAACCUACAUUGACCACUGUGUACAUUCAGUUUACCUCUAUAAUCUUUUCUAAAUAAAAUGGUAUCUGCUUAUGGCAAAAAAAAAAUUAAAAAAUUGAAUGUGCACUGUGGUGUUGCUUUUGGAACCCUAACAACAACAGAUCUAUUUUGAGUGCAUAUACACCAGUUAUGUACUACACAGAAUUAGAUUUGUAGUCAGGCUCUACCUUCAAGCUCAGUCUAAAGAUGCAACAUGAUACAAAAGGAGGAAGAGAUGAGAUCAGAAAGCCUGAGAUUUUUAUUUUAUUUUUCCACAAAAGCAAUUUUCGGAAAAUAAAACAACAGGAGGAACCAUGUGGCUGUUGGAUGGGGGAGUAUUCCAGGGCUGUAGAGCAGCCAACGAAAAUAAGUGUCGGUAUGGAAUGAGAGUAAAGUUUCUGGCAUGGAAAGGAUAGGCAAAGGGACCAAGGAGGAUUUAAAUUUAAGGCAAGGGAUAAGACAGGUUGAAUACUGCAAAAGAUUGAAGAGACACUCAGAGGACAGCAGCUGAAUGCUGCAAGAAAGGGAGAUGUGAUGGAAUGAAAUUGUAUUGUGCUUAGGGAAAGGGCAUAAAUUUGAUUCAGUUUGUAUUUAAAGGCAAAACCAUCUUAUUCACACUUUCUGAAACAAUGCACAAAGCAACAGUGCAUAUCCUAGGAUAAAGUGUGCAGAAAAAUGUACAUAUUAAUGAAAAUAACAUAGAAAGAUGAAUUCUAUUAGGGAAAAUUGGUUUGCAAAAAUGUGUAUAUUUGGCAAAAUUGCAUAGGAAAAAUGUGUAAUUAGGACAAAUUCUCACUCAAAUGCUGAUGAUUUUUCAUGAGGAUUUUUAAAGAAAGAAACUGUUGUGGAGAUGCGGAGAACUAAACUUAAGCCUGGAAAAAUGAGAAACUGAAAUUGAUAGAUUUGCCCAUCCCAAAUUGUGAUAUAGUGUUUUAUGCUUUUUUAAAAAUGUUGUAUGUAACUUUGGGUGAUGAUGGACUGGGGGAACUAAUGACUAACAAAUGUGAUUAAAGAGAUUAAAAUAAGAGGAGAUAAAUGGUUGAACAAAACAAAGGAGAAAUCAGGGGGAGGCACAGUUUAGUGCAGAAGAGAUGGAACAUAACACAGGACCAAUUCUGCUCUGUAUGUCAGGUGAAUUAAGCCAAGUCUGAUUUCAGAGUACACAAUCCUGUUUUCUUUCUGUCAGCAGCUGUGGGCAAGAGCUAUGAAAUAUGAGCCCUUAAACAGGAGAUUCAGGAUCCCAGAUAACAUUGAGAAUAUGAUUCCUACAGCAAGCCGUAAUUUCAUGAUACCCCUGUAUAUCCCAAAUGGAAUAAUCAUUCACAUUUUAUUUUUCAAUUUAUCUGAGUAAUGAGCAGCCAAUUUCAUCUCAUGGAGGCAGGAAAAACAAUCUAUUUUGGCUUUAAUCAUGGAAAAGCAAGAAAAAUAAUUGUGCAGUCAUAAAUCAUAGUAAGAAAGAUGGGCAAAAUGCUAAUUGUUUUAUAUCGCUUGCCUCCAUUCCUAUUGUCAGAAUAGGCCAAACUGAUUAAGCAUGUCACCCCUUGUUUAACAGUUGCGUUUGCCCAAGUGGAACCUACCACUGUCGGAAAGAAGGACCUGUGGCAGAUUGUGGGGAAGGCAAAAGCCAGAAAGGGGGAAAACACCUCUUUUUCAUAUUUACCAAAUUGUAAUGAAUUUUCAUUUAUGGUUUGCAACAAUGCCUCUAUCGUUUUCAUAAUAAUCAGCGUUAACGGUUUGAAGAAAAGCUAUUGAGUUCUAAUAAGAACACUAAAGGUACUAAUUAGGCACUUGACAGUGUUUUAAUAAUCUUUCAUAAUUUAUGGGACAGAGAGAGACUCACGAAAGCAUUGAUUGACUCCCCGGAGUUGUAGGUUUCCCGUGAGUGAUUCAAUAGACCUGUCCUGCCUACUGCUGGAACAAAUAAAUCAAGUGUAAACUAUUGCAUUUUUAAACAGAAUUAUGUAAAUAAGGCUGCUUAUGAGAAUGAAUGGUUAAGCAUUAGCUACCAUCUUGUUAGAAAUAAACCCAACAAAUUUCAAAGUGUGAGGUUGGCUUCCUUAGGGGACAUUCAGACCACCGCCAAGGAAAGCAUAAUUCCUUCCCUCUCCCCUUCCAUUACAGGCUGUUCAGAAAGCCAUGUAACAACCUAUCCACUCACUGCUCCUCCAUAUUAAUCCAAUGUAAAUAAAUAAAUAAAAUAAUUAUUAGUCCUAAAUAGAGGUGCCAGGAAUCCAGAACUUCCUCCCUUCAGUUCUAUUCUUCACUACCUUGGUUGGCCUCUGGGUGGAGCAUGGAUGAUGGCUUUGCAUGGGUUGGUUUCAACCAUGUAUCUACAAGCUUUUCAGUCCCAGGACCAACUUUUAACCCAAACAUGCAAUUGGGGAUGAAUUUCUUAAUCUUUUACCAUAUAUUUGCAUGGUGGUAGUGCUCCUGUUGCAACCCACCUUGGAUCAGACCAUAACCCACUAAAAAAAAGGUAAAGGACCCCUGACAGUUAAAUCCAGUCAUAAACGACUCUGGGGUUGCGGCGCUCAUCUCACGUUACUGGCUGAGGUAGCUGAUGUUUGUCCACAGUUUUUCCGGGUCAUGUGGCCAGCAUGACUAAGCCGCUUCUGGCGCAACCAGAACAGCGCACAGAAACGCUGUUUACCUUCCUGCCAGAGCGGUACCUAUAUAUCUACUUGCACUAGUGAGUCCCAACCCACCAGUUUAAGACCAGUGGCUUAGACAGCCUCCUGCCUCUGCUCCUGAUUGGGCUGGAUGUGGGAAUGGGCUUGGGGAGCAUUGGGGUGUUUGCCCUCCCAAGCUUCCAAGGGAACUUCCACACUGUUCAUGAAUUCCACCCUUAGUAGAAUGCUCCAGGUGGGGAUACUAUCCACUGUUUUAUAAAAAAUCUGUAUAGUCCACCUAUUAUAGUCUGUCUCAAGGCAGUGCACAAGUUAAGAUAACAUCUGAAUGAUAACAUCAGAUGGAGACAUCUGAAGGCAGCCCUGUUUAGGGAAGUUUUUAAUGUUUAAUGCUGUAUUGUGUUUUUAAUAUUCGGUUGGGAGCCACCCAGGGUGGCUGGGGAAACCUACCAGGGACACAUUAGGACAUUUUCAGCUUGUUGUUAUUCCAUGGAUGGACAGAAUUCUCUCUUGUUCCUGGGCAUGCUGGCCAUGAACCAUGGCCAGGAAAACCAGGACCUUCAGUGUGGAAAACUUUCAUGUUUGCUCAACUCCCAUCCUUCAUUGCCUGUUCCUUGUCUUACUCCAUCACAAGUAUACAUUGAUCUCAGCCCUAACCUAAAUGAAGAUGGAAACUAUCUUACUCUGAGUGCAGAAUGGAUGAAUGAAGUUGAUGCUGUGAUGUACAGAAGGAAUCCCAUAGGCCCCGUUUGAUGCACAUUGGAGCCUUGGAUGUACUUAUUUAGAAAGGAAGAC